Molecule: ribosomal RNA, 963 nt
Filed under: marine metagenome
Description: bacterial SSU rRNA
Rfam family: Bacterial small subunit ribosomal RNA
Source: RNAcentral
GAGGCAUCUCAGAGCUUGGAAAGAAUUUCGGUGAAGGAUGGGCUCGCGGCCUAUCAGCUUGUUGGUGAGGUAAAGGCUCACCAAGGCGACGACGGGUAGCCGGCCUGAGAGGGUGACCGGCCACACUGGAACUGAGACACGGUCCAGACUCCUACGGGAGGCAGCAGUGGGGAAUAUUGCACAAUGGGCGCAAGCCUGAUGCAGCAACGCCGCGUGAGGGAUGAAGGCCUUCGGGUUGUAAACCUCUUUUAGCAGGGAAGAAGCGAAAGUGACGGUACCUGCAGAAAAAGCACCGGCUAACUACGUGCCAGCAGCCGCGGUAAUACGUAGGGUGCAAGCGUUGUCCGGAAUUAUUGGGCGUAAAGAGCUCGUAGGCGGUUUGUCGCGUCUGCUGUGAAAACCAGAAGCUCAACUUCUGGCCUGCAGUGGGUACGGGCAAACUAGAGUGCGGUAGGGGAGAACGGAAUUCCUGGUGUAGCGGUGGAAUGCGCAGAUAUCAGGAGGAACACCGAUGGCGAAGGCAGUUCUCUGGGCCGUUACUGACGCUGAGGAGCGAAAGCGUGGGGAGCGAACAGGAUUAGAUACCCUGGUAGUCCACGCCGUAAACGGUGGGUGCUAGCUGUGGGCCACAUUCCACGUGGUCCGUGACGAAGUUAACACAUUAAGCACCCCGCCUGGGGAGUACGGCCGCAAGGCUAAAACUCAAAGGAAUUGACGGGGGCCCGCACAAGCGGCGGAGCAUGCGGAUUAAUUCGAUGCAACGCGAAGAACCUUACCAAGGCUUGACAUAUAGAGGAAAAGUACAGAAAUGUGCUCCCCGUAAGGUCUCUAUACAGGUGGUGCAUGGUUGUCGUCAGCUCGUGUCGUGAGAUGUUGGGUUAAGUCCCGCAACGAGCGCAACCCUCGUCCUAUGUUGCCAGCACGUUAUGGUGGGAACUCAUGGGAUACUGCCGGGGUCAACUC